Molecule: long non-coding RNA, 2168 nt
Filed under: Zonotrichia albicollis (white-throated sparrow)
Lineage: Eukaryota; Metazoa; Chordata; Aves; Passeriformes; Passerellidae
Description: lncRNA (ENSZALG00000004250.1)
Source: RNAcentral
AUUAAUGGUAACUGCACCAAGAGCAACUGAAUUCAAAGCCUGUAGGAGAGGUCACAGAGCAUCUUGUUGUGCCACAUGGUGCUGUAGCUCUCCUGAAAGCUACCAGGCCUUGGCUCCAGCUGAGAAAAAGUCCAGAAGAGAUCCACGACUGGUGGGAUUCAUUAGACAUUUUGAACAGAGCUCCUUCUGCCAUGAUUUUCUCUAUUUCACAGUGGACUCAACCAGCAGAACUGGGGAGGAUCAUCACAGACCCAAGACUGCAAAGAUCAGAAGUCUAAUAAAGCCCCCAGAGUGGUUGCCUGCAAUGAGUCCCUUGGGAACUUAUAAGGAUGGCAAUGUGUCACUUCACACUAGAGCAAGAGAAGAGCAGGAAUUCUUUCCCUUAAUGACUGUAGUUCUGUGAAUUGCAGUGUGUGAACUCAGCUGGACCUUGGAUGACAGACUUUCCUAAAAAUGUCCUUUUGGUAUUGUGGCAAAUUCAGACAAUUCAAGGUUGUUCUCUUUGGUACAUUCCUUUUUUGUUUUUUUUUUUUUUUUUUUUUUUUUUUUUUUUUUUUUUUUUUUUUGUUAAUCUCUAGAUGAAGCCUAAGAGUAGUCCAUUAUACUUCUCUUCUCAGUGCUCAGUGGAACAUAUUUCAAAGAGUGGUAAAAACCUGAGCGAAGAAAGACCAAGUUUGGAGCAGAAAACAGUGGUGUUCUUGUGGGGGACAAUUAAAACCUAAAACAUGGGAGUAUGGUUUUUUAGGUCAAAAAAAGAUGUGUGUAAAACAGACCAGGAGGUCUAUGAGAGAAAAUUUCCAUUUCAGCAACAAGCUCUGGGGCUGUGCUAAUGAUCACGUACACCAGAGAGGAGAUGGGUUUCAUGAUGAGUUUCCAGGUAUUUUGCUUCUAUAAUGCAACAUCCUGAAAGAUGAUCAGGCUAGAAUGGAAGAAGAGUGAGAGGAGACAGAAUGAGUGUUUGCAUUCUGGUUUCCCCUCCCUCCCUCUCUCUUGUUCAGUGUGUUUUCCCUGCCUGGAUCAAAUACCUCUGAAGUAUAGGUGCUCUUGGCUGUGGUGUUCCCUGGCACCCAGCACAGAUUGGCACAGAGGUCCCUGGCACAGCUAGGGUGGAAACUGUAGGGUUUUACCCUACUGAAGUCAGAGACUUUCCCACAAAGAGUGUUCCUGUGGAUGCUAGGAGCCUUGGGGAUUAGAAACAUGAAUAUUAUCACUUUAAGUAAGACUGUGUUUAUCUGUGAGGGAGGAGAUACCAUAGCAGUGUCCUGUGACUCUGAAAGCCCCUUCUGAGUGCCACCACAGGGCCCAGGGCUGAGGCAUGGAGGAUGUGGCAGACUCCCUGGGGAUUCCUCCGUGGAGCUAAAGGGAAAAGCUUUCUGUUUCAGCUUCCACAACAGACUUUGACAGAUGGGGAGGUAAAAAAGGCUGCCCCACUUUCACAUGUGAAAAGUCUGCAGUGAUCUGGAGAAUGUCAGGAGGCUGCUCUUGGAGAACACAAGGGACAGAGAAUCCUUCUCAUCCCACUCUCUUCAAGGUGCCUUCAGCAAGAGCUGUAGGGUUUCUUUUCUCCCCCACUGUUGUCAAUAAUUCCUUCCCUUCCUCCCUACCCUGAGGUUAGAGCAGCAAGAGCAGCAGGAUCAAUCUUUCUCCCCAAAGCAUCCAGAACUGGACCAUAACCAUGCAAACUUGCAAGAUGCUGGCACAUUACAGAGUACCUUGCCCAAGGGAAAUUUUGUUCUUUAUUCCCUUUCAGCCAAACUAGAUUUUUAUCCUAAAAUACAUGCUUCCACCUCUUCUAAAAUCCCUUUAAAAGAAAUUGGACAUUUGCAGGCAUGCUUUAGCUGUGAAAGUAGGUGGCUGCAUUUUGUUUAACAGAUGUGUGUUUCCUUGUCUAUAGGCUGUGGAUUUGCUGCAGGGAGUCUGAAAAACUGUGGUCACAUAGCAACUGUAUAUUAACUAAAGCUUUUGAGAGUUGCUGAAAUUAAAGUUUCAAUAGUGUUCAGUGUGCUGGUCAAUGUGCUGAUCUGCACGUGUCCAGCUUUGUUUUGUACUACCUGUCAAAUGAGAAACCAGGGUUUUGCAAUAAUUAUGACUGUUAUUCAGGGAAUUGCUUAGAAAUUAAAGGUCAUCUAGAAAAACAAAAAACAAAAUAAAAUCCAGCCUCAAAAACA